UACGAAGGGGGCUAGCGUUGUUCGGAAUCACUGGGCGUAAAGCGCACGUAGGCGGCGCGUUAAGUCAGGGGUGAAAUCCUGGAGCUCAACUCCAGAACUGCCUUUGAUACUGGUGCGCUCGAGUGUGGGAGAGGUUGGUGGAACUCCGCGUGUAGAGGUGAAAUUCGUAGAUAUUCGGAAGAACACCAGUGGCGAAGGCGGCCAACUGGCCCAUUACUGACGCUGAUGUGCGAAAGCGUGGGGAUCAAACAGG
This 253-nucleotide ribosomal RNA is filed under the name uncultured bacterium. RNAcentral describes it as "partial 16S ribosomal RNA". It matches the Rfam family "Bacterial small subunit ribosomal RNA", at positions 524 to 776 of the family's 1533-position model. The record is from RNAcentral.